CGCGGGGUGGAGCAGCUGGUAGCUCGUUGGGCUCAUAACCCAAAGGUCGUAGGUUCGAGUCCUACCCCCGCAACCA
RNAcentral lists this transfer RNA (76 nucleotides) under Clostridium aciditolerans. RNAcentral describes it as "tRNA-Met". It matches the Rfam family "tRNA". From Rfam's summary of the family: Transfer RNA (tRNA) molecules are approximately 80 nucleotides in length. Their secondary structure includes four short double-helical elements and three loops (D, anti-codon, and T loops). Further hydrogen bonds mediate the characteristic L-shaped molecular structure. tRNAs have two regions of fundamental functional importance: the anti-codon, which is responsible for specific mRNA codon recognition, and the 3' end, to which the tRNAs corresponding amino acid is attached (by aminoacyl-tRNA synthetases). tRNAs cope with the degeneracy of the genetic code in two manners: having more than one tRNA (with a specific anti-codon) for a particular amino acid; and 'wobble' base-pairing, i.e. permitting non-standard base-pairing at the 3rd anti-codon position. The record is from RNAcentral. Lineage: Bacteria; Bacillati; Bacillota; Clostridia; Eubacteriales; Clostridiaceae.